RNAcentral lists this ribosomal RNA (466 nucleotides) under uncultured prokaryote. RNAcentral describes it as "bacterial SSU rRNA". It matches the Rfam family "Bacterial small subunit ribosomal RNA", at positions 338 to 795 of the family's 1533-position model. The record is from RNAcentral.
CCUACGGGUGGCUGCAGUCGAGAAUCAUUCGCAAUGGGCGCAAGCCUGACGAUGCGACGCCGCGUGCAGGAUGAAGGUCUUCGGAUUGUAAACUGCUGUGAUGGGGGAGCAAUGCGUCUUGUGUUAACACCACUUGACGUUGAUAGUACCCCAAGAGGAAGCCACGGCUAACUCUGUGCCAGCAGCCGCGGUAAUACAGAGGUGGCAAGCGUUGUUCGGAUUUACUGGGCGUAAAGGGUGCGUAGGCGGUCUUGUGUGUCGGGUGUGAAAUCCCACGGAUCAUCCGUGGAACUGCACUCGAAACUGCAGGGCUUGAGUACAGGAGAGGAAGGUGGAAUUCUCGGUGUAGCGGUGAAAUGCGUUGAUAUCGAGAGGAACGCCGGAGGCGAAGGCGACCUUCUGGACUGUAACUGACGCUGAGGCACGAAAGCUAGGGGAGCAAACAGGAUUAGAUACCCUUGUAGUC